This 468-nucleotide ribosomal RNA is filed under the name uncultured bacterium. RNAcentral describes it as "partial 16S ribosomal RNA". It matches the Rfam family "Bacterial small subunit ribosomal RNA", at positions 28 to 507 of the family's 1533-position model. The record is from RNAcentral.
GACGAACGCUGGCGGCGUGCUUAACACAUGCAAGUCGAACGGAAAGGCCCUGCUUUUGUGGGGUGCUCGAGUGGCGAACGGGUGAGUAACACGUGAGUAACCUGCCCUUGACUUUGGGAUAACUUCAGGAAACUGGGGCUAAUACCGGAUAGGAGCUCCUGCUGCAUGGUGGGGGUUGGAAAGUUUCGGCGGUUGGGGAUGGACUCGCGGCUUAUCAGCUUGUUGGUGGGGUAGUGGCUUACCAAGGCUUUGACGGGUAGCCGGCCUGGGAGGGUGACCGGCCACAUUGGGACUGAGAUACGGCCCAGACGGCUACGGGAGGCAGCAGUGGGGAAUAUUGCACAAUGGGCGGAAGCCUGAUGCAGCAACGCCGCGUGCGGGAUGACGGCCUUCGGGGUGUAAACCGCUUUCGCCUGUGACGAAGCGUGAGUGACGGUAAUGGGUAAAGAAGCACCGGCUAACUACGUG